UCCGUAGGCGGAUUGAUAAGUCAGAGGUGAAAUCUCACAGCUUAACUGUGGAACUGCCUUUGAAACUGUUAGUCUUGAGUUAUAUGGAAGUAGAUAGAAUGUGUAGUGUAGCGGUGAAAUGCAUAGAGAUUACACAGAAUACCGAUUGCGAAGGCAGUCUACUACGUAUAUACUGACGCUAAUGGACGAAAGCGUGGGGAGCGAACAGGAUUAGAUACCCUGGUAGUCC
Molecule: ribosomal RNA, 229 nt
Filed under: uncultured bacterium
Lineage: Bacteria
Description: partial 16S ribosomal RNA
Rfam family: Bacterial small subunit ribosomal RNA
Source: RNAcentral